Molecule: ribosomal RNA, 253 nt
Filed under: uncultured bacterium
Lineage: Bacteria
Description: partial 16S ribosomal RNA
Rfam family: Bacterial small subunit ribosomal RNA
Source: RNAcentral
UACGUAGGGUGCAAGCGUUAAUCGGAGUUACUGGGCGUAAAGCGUGCGCAGGCGGUGAUGUAAGACAGAUGUGAAAUCCCCGGGCUCAACCUGGGACCUGCAUUUGUGACUGCAUCGCUAGAGUACGGUAGAGGGGGAUGGAAUUCCGCGUGUAGCAGUGAAAUGCGUAGAUAUGCGGAGGAACACCGAUGGCGAAGGCAAUCCCCUGGACCUGUACUGACGCUCAUGCACGAAAGCGUGGGGAGCAAACAGG